UCUAGGAACUCUACUAUGAUUAAUUUGGACGGUCAUCUUCCUCUUUCCAACAAAUACUCCAUGGAAAAAGAAAAUAGUAAAUGAAUUGAUUGUUCCGAAGCCCAUUAUUCCCUCCAUAAUCGUAAUCCCUAAUCAUGCUACCUGAACCAGAUUCAUCUUCUCAGUAUUCAAGCCUCCAUCUUCACAAAUUUCGAAACGAUACGUUUGAUCGUCUACCGGUGGAGAAGAAAUGUUUGAUUCGCGAAUUCGAAGGCAAUGUUCUAGUUGAACGGUACAAUAAUCGUAUACUUGUCUUCAUCGUAUUUUCUGUAUGAUGAUAUGGAUUCUCUAUAAAUUCAUCUUCUUUCGGUUCUGCUUUAUGUGAACUGACAGCUAUGAGCUAUGACAAUGUCGAAUUAAGUGUCUUUACAAUUGGAAUUUAAGUUUAGCAAGUUGCUUGAGAAUGUUGAAAAAUAAAGAUAAUCCCGAAAUCGGCUAAAACUUGUGAAAUGUUAUUUCAGACUUGAUCUUUAAAUGAUUGAGUUUGGCAUUUUAAGAAUCAAUGAAACUUUCAUGUGUAAGUGUAUGCUUUAAGAAGAAGAAAUUUUUUAGUUUUUGUUUUUUGCUCUGGUUUGUUUGGUUGUGGACUUGUGGGAUAUUGUAGUUUUAACGGUGUUACAGCAGGGGAACGUUUACACUAGAGAUCGAGCGGAUAAUCUUUAGUGGAGUCGGAAUGAGGAGCUCCUUGUUGCUAAUUACAAGUCAGUGUAUAUUGUAUGCAGAGAGUGCUUGGAGAUGUCAGUAUGUUCGUUGUUGGCAAGGAUGAAUACGAUGAACUUGCCUUGUCAUAACCUCAGCCAUGAAGGAUUUAUGUGAGGAACCUCCAACCGAAUGCCCUUUCCUCGACAAAUAUGGCAAAAUAUGUCUGUGCCUGGACGAGAUUGUCUGGAAGAGUCUGGUGGAGAACACCGACAAAGAGACUUGUAUGAUCGAAACGACCAACUGACUUCUAAUCGAUCGACAGACCACAUGCAUUUUUGCUACGAUUGCUGCGUGGAAAAUGCUCAUUCAUGGAUUUGAGUCGUAAUAAUCUUCUGCAGAUUGUUUGUUUGUUUUACGCCUUUAAUUUGUAUGCGUAAGCAUAGACCAAUUGUUAAAUUCAGAUCAUCUUUUUGGAUAUAAUCUUAAUUUUGUGUUGGACUUUUUUUAAGAAUAUGACAUCUCAUUUUGUAUUGUUUGAAGAGAUACUAAUUUUUUUUUAAUCCUGGCCUUGCUUUUGAUCUA
Molecule: RNA transcript, 1263 nt
Organism: Salvia splendens (bonfire salvia)
Lineage: Eukaryota; Viridiplantae; Streptophyta; Magnoliopsida; Lamiales; Lamiaceae
Exons: 5
Source: RefSeq, a predicted model, not a curated record